CUGCUGUUACCAUUUUUAUACAAAAGUUUUUCCAGUGUGUUUAUGUUUGGUGUUCUACCGUUCCAUAAAUUUAAUUUUUGCACGUUAUUGAUUAUUAAUUUGAUAAAAAAUUGAGAUUGAAGAGCUGAAAAGUACUGUCAAAACUAAGAAUAUCAUCUCAUAGUGACUUAUAAAAGAUUAGGUCUUGAGAUGAAAAUGGAAUUGCGUUUCAAAUGGCAUGCGGCUUGUUUGGUCAAGAAAAGGCAACGUAGGUAAGAACCGGUAGGCCUACAAUUUUCAAUAAUUCCGUAUAAUUUUAAUUCAUUCUCAUCCCAAAAUUAAAUUUGAUGUGAUUUUGGGGGCACUUAGUAGUAUUUGGGUCACUGAAUCUAUUAUAGCAUUGAGGCCUAUCUACAGAGGAGGCUAAGACGAGUUCAAGCAUGCUGCAUGCAUUGUUGUCGACAUGAUAAAGUCUUAUAAAAUGGCGGACAGAGCAAUUACUAUGGCGGGCCAACCAGGAACGGAGAGAAAGCUAUAGCUGAGGAGCUGAGAAGCAAGGCAAAGAUUACAGUUCCAAGUACUUACAUCUUCCUCAUUGACGGCGUUUGAAACGAUGGCUCAGAAACUUUGCCAAACUCAGAUGACUCAAUCUCUGAGCUGGAGGACCCAAUAAUCCUCCAAGGAAGGGUAUAUAAAUACAAAUCCUGCACCAACAAUAAUUAUUGCAAACUAUCGAAAUCAUCUUAAUUACCGUCAACUCGAUUACUCUCAAGACUGAGAAGAAAUGUUGAUAGAUAAGUCAUUUUAAAGAUUGACUAGGCUACACAUCGUUGGCUGCACUAGUAUCAAGAGGAAGGUGACAAUUAAUAAAUUGCUGACUCGCGUUGAAGACAAGGAUAUGGACCAGGAUAAAGACAAGGAUGUUGAUGAUUUAGUGACGUCACAGGAGAAUGCUAGUCAUGAGAAAUCAAUCACAGCGAUCAUGGAACUCUAUGUAGAGUAUCCAGUGUCUCACAGUCUUCUCUACCUCCAUGAUCUGCCUCUAAGGAUCACUCAGCUGCAAAAUCUGGAUCUCCAGUUUCAUCGAGUGCUUCAUCUCAGGUUGGAUUAGCCUCUAAGGAUCACUCAGCUGCAAAAUCAGGAUCUCCAGUUUCAUCGAGUGUUUCAUCUCAGGUUGGAUUAGCCUCCAAGGAUCACUCAGCUGCAAAGUCAGGAUCUCCAGUUUCAUCGAGUGCUUCAUCUCAGGUUGGAUUAGCCUCCAAGGAUCACUCAGCUGCAAAGUCAGGAUCUCCAGUUUCAUCGAGUGCUUCAUCUCAGGUUGGAUUAGCCUCUAAGGAUCACUCAGCUGCAAAAUCAGGAUCUCCAGUUUCAUCGAGUGCUUCAUCUCAGGUUGGAUUAGAUAUAGAAUAAUAACGGGUGUUUCACGACCGACGCAACUCAAAAUUUAGUAGUAAUAGAUGAUAAAUUUUAGGUCCAAAAAAGUAAAUUAGAGGCCAAAUGAAAAUGUUAUUAAAGAGAGCUAGUCAUACAUUAGUGAUGUUGUUUCAGCUAUCGUUUUGUUACUUUGUAUUUUCAUCAAGGAUGAACCCUUGUUUACUUUAGAGACUUUAUAUUGUUUGUAAAUCUUGACAAAUCUGGGCAAAAUAAGUUAUGAAUAGAGUUUCCGCAUACUGUAGUUCCUGAUUAGUCGACAAUAAUGCGGUUGAUCAAUACAUCUUUUUCAAGUGGUAGUGUGCUAGUGAUAAGAAGCCUGCCACAAAGUGGCACCUCAACAGAUUCGCUUAGAAAGAAGGUUAUCACAAUCUGGCUACUACUGUAAUGAAAAAUCAAUUUAUACCCUUAUGUAGUGCACUAAAUUUUGUCAUUCAACUUCUGAUUGUGUCCAUCGUGAAACACCAUUUAGAAAAUAGUUAUUCAUCGACUCGUGUUCUCUAAUUUCAGCAUUUUAAAUGUGGUGUAAAUCAAUUUUUCUAUUUAAAUAUUACUCUGAAUUCACAUUUUAUUUUAUUUAUGAUGGUAUACUCUCUUGGCUGGAAAUAUUUCAUAAUACUUUGUAUAGAUCUACACUUACUGAUUGCUAAUAAUACAGGGUCUGUAUAAUAAGUAACCGGACUGAACUCAGGAAUUUUUUUAUUGGCAAAAUAUGUACAAUUUUACUUUAGAAAUCUUCAAAGUAGUCCCCAGUGGAGUCGAUAACACGCUGAUACCGGAUUUUCCAAUCCCUGGACGCUCCCUGGAAGUUGGCAAACUCUGUGCUGUCUAGAGCCCUCGUCGUAGCACGUUGAACGUUUUCCAGAGUCCCGAACCGCGUCCCCUUAAGUUGUCUCUUGAUCUUGGGGAACAAAAAGAAGUCUGGUGGUGCCAUAUCCGGGCUGUAAGGAGGAUGUGGCAACGUUACCCUCGACUGUUUGGCCAACUGCUCGGUGACGAGCAGGCAGGUGUGCGACGGAGCAUUGUCGUGAUGGAGGAUCCACGAAUCGGCAAUCCCCGGACGGACUCGAUGAACCCUGGCGGUUAGUCGACGGAGCACGUCUCUGUAGUACUGGCCACUCACAAAGAGUUUGUGCCACCCGGCCGAACUGUAUGUAAACCGUCCGUUAUAAUUAUAUAAAAUAGGCGAACAUGUUUGUUGUGAUUAAACCGUCCAACAAUACCGUAUUCAUAUAUAAUUAUACUGAAAUCCACUUACCAAGCUAUCCUCAUUUGGAUUGAAUUGAAAAAAUCUUUAUUCAUAAACAGGUAUAUUAGGAACAGCGUCAAUAUACAAACAAACAUAAACAUAAAAAGUACUAGAAGUAGUAAAAAGUAGUAACAGUCUUAAACCUCCUAUGUAAAUAACAGAAAUCGAUAAACAACAAUCACAAACCCACAGUGCGAUCUGCAAACUCCUGCAGGGAGUACAGACUCAAUGACAUUAAAAACUCCUUGAGAUUUAUGUUCUCUAUUGCCUGUAAUUCCAAAGGUAGCAUUGUGAAGUAAUUCCUUCCUAUGUAGUGCGUCUUUUUCUUAAAAAAUUCUAACCUGUGUCUUUCAGUUAUCCUUCCAAAUCUAGUAUUGUAGCCAUGAGUCUCCUUCUCCUUAGUUCUUCUACUGGGUAAUAUUCCUAACAUGCAUGAUAACAUCAAAUACAUAUUGCCUGUAAACUGUAAUAAUGCCAAUCUGCGAAAAAACAGUUUUACAGAGUCCAUUCUUUUUAGAUUCAUAAUUAUUAUUCUUAGUGUUUUUUUCUGUUGAAUGAGAAUUCUAUGAAGAUUGCUCUUGGUCGCGGCUCCGUAAUAAUGCAAUAGGCCAGAUGGGAGUGUAUUAGUGAGUGAUAGAGCGUUUUCAUCGUUAGAAGACUGCAUUCAUUCGACAUUAUUUGUCUUGAAGCCUGGAUCUGUUGACAGCCCGGACUCGCAGUUGCUCCUUGUCUUAUUCUUGUCCUUUAAGAAGGCAAACAAAUUAUAAAACGGUCAUUUUGGGUCCGCAUCUGCUCCCGCGCCACUUUUUGCCUUUUUAGAGUUUCGUUGAUAUUGGCCAAUUAGGAUUCUCAUUUUUUUACUUCUAACCUCUCCACAUCCAUUGCAACCGAAAUUUCAUUCCACGCGUCCUGUUUUUUAUUUCUAUUUUUUAAAUCAGCACUUUUAGCGUCCCAUAGCGCAGGGUAAUCCCUCAAUAGUUCAACUAACUUUAUAAUAUUGUCUUUAUUCCAGUCAAAUUCACUCUCUAUUUUUGCACAAUAAUAUAAUUAUAAAUCAGAAAGAAAUGCUUGUAAUGCGCAGUAGCCUACUAGCACUCUGACAACAAAUGAGUACAGUAUAUCAGGUGAUCAGGUGUAAAUCAUCCAGGAGGCACCAAACAGCUGCAAACAGCAGUAAACAGCUGCGGCAGCCUUCCUUCAAGGACACAUGUAGCUCUAAU
Long non-coding RNA from Nilaparvata lugens (brown planthopper), 3879 nucleotides. RefSeq lists it as uncharacterized. Lineage: Eukaryota; Metazoa; Arthropoda; Insecta; Hemiptera; Delphacidae. The record is from RefSeq and is a predicted model, not a curated record. The transcript is spliced from 5 exons.